GAAUGAUUGGAAUUGAUAAACUCUCUUAUAUUUGGAAGUGGCUGUUUUUCAAAACAAAUCUUUUAUCUAGUAUGGCACAUAAUUUAGUGGAAACAUACACAAAUUGGCAUUGCUGUUGAUCAUGAGGGCGGGGGAAGCAUUCCAAUCAUUAGAUCCUUUAUUUUUCACGAAGAAAUAAAGAAUAUUGUAUGAAGGCCACGAUGCGCGUCCAAACCAAUACACACAUGGCAAUAGUUUGUAUACUAGUAUCUUUAAGAAAGGGAGAUGGAAAAAAAAUACGCUUGGUAUUUGUUUCCCCAAAGCUUAUGUUAUUACCUUCAGGUGAAAACAACAUGCUCGGACUUUUCUGGCAUGGCAGAAAACUCCAGUAAGAAGGAAAUAAGGGAAGUCUUUUCCACGAGGGCCUUCUUCUGUGGGACUGGCUGUUUACAUAGGUAUCCCAUUUGGUCUUUAGAAGAACGCCGCGAGGUAUAGCUAAUAUUAACCUCAUCUUACAGCUGAGGAAGUAGCUUUGGUGAGUUUGAAUUACUUGCCCAGGACCAAUUAUUAGAAUAUGGCUGGGAAUUCCUGUUGUGGCUCAGAAGGUUAAGAACCCAACAUCGUGUCUGUGAGGAUGCAGGUUCAACCCCUAGUCUCACUCAGUGGGUUAGGGAUCCAGUGUUGCCACAAGCUGUGGCAUAGGUGGCAGAUGUGGCUCGGAUCCAGUGUUGUGGCUGCUGCAGCUCUGCUUUGACCCCUAGCCUAGGAACAUCCAUAUGCAGCAGGUGCGGCUGUAAAAAGAAAAAAAAGAGAGAGAGAAUGUGGCUGGGAGUUCCCUGGUGGCUCAACAGGUUAAGGACCUGGCUUUGUCACUGCUGUGGCUCUAAUUACAGUUGUCUUGAGGGUUCUAGCCCUGGCCUCAGAAUUUCUGUAUGCCGCAGGUGCAGCCAAAAAAAAAAAAAAAGGAAGAAAGAAUAUGGCUCAGCUGGAAUUCACUCCCAGAAGAACCUGGCUCCAGAGGCCACUUCUUUUCAUUAAAAUGAAAGUCAUGUGUGAAUGAGUCACAUUUUUACUCUCCUCUGCGUCUCCCAGGGCCCAUGCAAGGUGCUCAGUGGCAAGAGAGCUCCCUGUCAGUCCCUUCCCUGACCUUCAGAUUUACCAUCUGAACCUCUGCAAACUGCCUUAUUUCCCUGGCUACUCCUUCGUAAUUUAUUUCCACCAAAUCAAAACCCCCUUGUAUUGCUGAUUUAUAAUCGGGGCUACCUGUCCAGCCCCUGUUCUCCUCUCUAAUUCUCUCAUGGUGUUGAUAACCCCAUGAGUGAAAUAGAUCGAUAACCCCAUGAAUGAAAUAGAUCCUGUCUGCUCCGUGUUCCAGGUGAGGAAAAUGGCGAAGGGGAGUGAAGUGGCUUCUCAUCGCCACAUAUCUUGUAUGGAUCAGACCUGGUAUCAGAUUCCUCAUGUGCUUGAUUCCCAAGCCUCUGCUCCUUUGGCCUGGAAUCUGAGCUGGGUCUUGAAGGCAGGGGUAGAAUUGUGUUGAGUUGGACCUUCUAGGUGGGAGCAGGCCAGAAUUACCAAGUAAACAAAAGCUCAAAGGUGUGAGAGAGAGCAUGUGGCGGAUCCUGGGAAUAGGGGCUCUUGAACAAAGUCAUGAUUCUGGUGCUUUAGACUUGUUUGCUAAGGGAGGCCCUGGGCCAUUUAACAGUGCUCUCUUCUUCCUUCUUGACCAUUGCAAUUCCCAAUAAUGCUCUUCCUCACUGAGGACCAGCCAGUAGCUGGGAACCAUUUAGUUGCAGGGUAGCUCUGGCUCUUUGACAAACUCCUUUCCUCAUCACUUAUCCUGCAGCUAGCAGCUUCAUCCCUCAUGUUUUGAGGGAUCCACACCCACACCUUUCCUGUCCCUGCUGUCUACCAGGCCUGGAAGAAGAUUUGGCUCAGUCCCCACUUUGAGUUUUCACUCUAAAGGCACAGCACAGGGCUCUGGUUAAAACAUCUCCGCCGUCUCCUAUCACGUCGUCCACAGUUACUCCCCCCAGCGAAUGUCUGGUUUUUGGCAUCAGGAGGGAGAACAUUUGACAGAGCCAGAGAGUCUCAAAGCCCAUUCCUGAUGAAAUGGUUUUGCUUCUUUUCCUCUUGUGCUGUCAUUUUAAGUCUCAGGUUUCUAUCUGGGGAGCCUCUUGAAGCUAAGAAAUUCGACCGCCAACAGUGUCACCGCUGAGCUCCAUGACCAAGUGGUGGAAUCUGAAAGUCCAUCCAUAUCAAGCUUGUCGAAUGUUUAUUUUAGAUCACGCAACAAAGGAAAAUCCUUAGCUGUUUGGGUCUUGCAUGGCUAGACCUGGGGAAGCAGGAGAUUCCAAAUGUUCUCAUCUGACAAAGGCUUCUCGUGUAGGCCAUUUUGUUCAGGUGGAAAGUCACCCACCUUCUGUCUGUUUCACUUCUUCCCCCUUGUCAUGAGAAUCAGAGGUCUUGACUGUUGCUCAGUCAGCCCGUUGUCUGCUCUGGUCUCAGGAAUGGAGAAACAGGACUGGCUAGUUUUAGCUCCUCCUCCUUUUAUCCAAUGCCUCUACCCCACCUGUGCCUUGAAAUGCAGUGGAAGGAAUGUCUUAGCUGCUUCGUGGCUUUCUCCCUUUAUCUCACCACGUUAGCACCCGUUCCGUGCUAGGCUCUGGAUGCAGAGACAAAGAAGAGAGAGAAGGCCCAAGCCCUCCAUAACCUUUCAGUUUCCUCUCCCUAGGGGGGCUUCUUCUAGCUCAAGACAGUUUUCUGAGCUCACAAAGCUCCCCCCUUGGCUCUUCCUCUGUACAUCGGGUAGCACUGUGAACUCUUCCUGCCCCUUUAUUCAAUCAGCUCAAUAUGUUAUUAACCUGAAGAGUUUGUUUUGUCCAGCAGAACUGGAGAAUUGGAUGCAUACUACUAUAUUAGAUCAUUUAUAAAAAUAUUUAAGAAGGCCAAUGUCAGCAUAGCCUCUGGGGCUCUCUUGUUGCUCUCUGUCAUAUCUUCAAGACAAUUCACUUGACAUAGGUUAGGUAUAUAGUAUGUGUUCAAUACACUUCUUGUUGGUUCAUUGAUCCCCUUUCUUUGUCAGGCUAGUUCCCACAAUCCCAGGAUGACUCAUGUUUUAAUGCCCCCAGACUUGAGAUGUUGUCAGAAGGUUUUCGUGAGGCUGAAGAAACCACGUGAACUCGUUUCUUCUAAUUCCCAUGCUUGCCUUCUCAGAGGAGUUCUGUGGUCAGGAAGAUCUGAGUUCAUUGCCCUCUGCCUCAAUCCUUUCCUAUUCUCCCAUGGAUUUUGUUGUUUCCAUUGUUCAAUGAUCUUAAAAUUUUGAUUCUAAGACUCUGCGGGUCUCAGAAUGAAAUCAGGUGAUUUGUCUUUCCUGGGUCUGGAAGCCAGCCAAACUCUGCCUUGCUUUGGUCAUUCUUAGCGACGUUUGAGUGUUUGCUCAGGAGUUGCCCAACUGUAUCCUUGAUGUACAUAUUUAUAAAUGGCAGCUCUUUUCUAGCAAUGUAAGGGGUAUCAUUAAUGCUCAUUCAUGCAAAUAUUAAAUGCCAGGCCCCCUUCUAGGUGCAAAGAGCAUGGGUCUCUAUGCUUAGGGAGCUUUCAUUCUAGAAAAAGAUAGGAUAAUACAUAAGGAAACAAGUAAACACAUUUAAAAAUGAGAAUUUCAGAUUGUGUUGAGGCCUCUGAAGCACAUAAUGAAGGUGAGGGGACAGGGACCUGGGAGGAGGAGGGAUAGAGGCCAGGAGGAGGAAGAGGCUGGUUUAGACAGCAUUUCCCCGCUGAGAGGUGACAUUGGACUGGAUAUAGCAUGAUGAAGAGGUCAACACACGACACACGAAGAUCUUGAAGGAGAAAGUUCUUGGCAGAGGAGACCUGGGCAUCGGGCCCCGAGGUGGGAUCAGCUUUAUUAAGAAUUCCUGGGUGAAUUUCAACUAGACACCAGUUCCGAUCAUAAUGUUGGAUGUGAAUAUUUUGAUAUAAGGGUUUUAACAGUGGCUGUUAUUUCUGAAUCACCCAGCAAUAGGCUAGAUGCUCUGUAACCAUUAGUGUUUGUUGCUAAAACAUCAGCCAAAUGAAGACAGGGCUAUUGAUCUGUUUUGUUCAGUGAUAUAGCUCCCAUGCACAUAGAAAGUGCUCAGUAAAUAUGUGUGACCUAAACAAAUCCUUACCGCAGUCCUGUAGUGGAAGUAGCCCCUCCUCUAGUGUAGAGAUGAGGCGACUGAGGCUCAGAGACAUUUAAGGAAAGCUGGGAUUUGAGCCUGCGUCUGUCAGCCUGGAAAACCAAUGCUUUUCCUCCUGUGCUCCGCCUCCCACGCUUGCCCUAGUACAUCCGACCCACUUGCUUCCCAAGUCUAAUCUUGUUAGCCUCCCUCUGAGUCAAGACUGAGGCCGGGAGUUAAUUUGGCUGUUCUGCUCAGCCCUGUUCAUCAGGGAGUGGUCCCUCAGCAGCCCAGUCAUGAGAGGGUCCCACUGAUUUCCAAGCUAACUUGCUGCCUUUGAUAUGGGCUCAGAUCUCUUCAAACAACCAGACCUCAGACUCUGACUGCCAAAGCCUGCCCUCUAAGAGGUUUUACAUAAAUCAUGGAAUCAGAGCACAGUUCAUGCUGUCAAAAUUCAGGCAAAUGUAAAAGAACAGGGAGGAAGGGAAAGGAAAUAACACGAAUUGAAUACUUGCUAUGUGACUCAUUUGUGGCUUUGUCCUUUAUGUACAGAACCUAAUUUAACAAUUAAUAAUUAUUACAGUAGAAUGGUAAUGAGAAUUGGCUUGAGGAUUGGAUAGAUCGGGAUUAAAUUCCAGGUGCUGGCACUUAGAAGCUGUAUGAUAUUAGGAAAGUUAUUUCAUCUCCGUGUUCCUUAGUUAGUUAUAAAAUAGGUCUAAUGUUACCUAUCCUAUAGGCUUCUUGUGAAGAUUAAUAAGAUAACACUGGUAAGUGCUUCCCCAAAGCCGGCAUUCAAUGAAUGCAACUUAUAAUAAAUCACUAUAUUUUAUUGAGUCUAAGAUGCUAUAUAUUAAGUACCAUCAUUUUGCAUACCACUAAGAAAGGACGCUGCCAAUUUAACUAUCAUGCACUAUCAAUUGUAAGAUACAUUCUGAUAUGUAUGGGAAAAGGUGCAUCUUAGAAUAGAUGAAAUAUGUGUAUGUUAUAGGUUGUAUAGCCCGCUAAUGGUGACACUACAUUGACAAAUUACUGACGCCCUUAAGGCAAAUCAUGGGCUAUUGUUUGUCAAGUGCUUUAGAAACUGAGUGCCAGCAUCUUUCUUUCUAGCCUCUCUUAAUUAUUCAUGACCUUCAGAAUCAAAAAGAUUUUUCUGACAUCAAGUCAAGCUGUCCCACAACAAAUUCAGCCAGACUCUGCUUGUUUAUUCCACUCUGCCGACAAUAAACAAGUGGUUGGUGUUCUCAGAACCCUCCAUUUAUCCAGUUGUUAAGUUACAACUUAAAUGCUUUUUCUUUUUCAGUCUAAUUACAGUAUAAUCAUCUAGGCCUGCAAAACACCUCACCGAUAUAAUGUGGCUGAGUUCAAGGAAUUACGAGUUUUAAAAAGUUUGCCAUUCAUGCAUUCGUUCAUUCAUCCAGUAUGUUUAUGGAGAGCAUAACAUGUGCCUGGUCUUUUUUUAAAUAUCGGGAAUAGGAUUUUGUGCACUAGAUAAGGUGCCUGCUCUCACGGAAUUUGGGGGAAGACAGGUAAUACCUGAGUAACAAAGAAAUACUAUUUCAGAUAGCAAUGAAGUUUAUGACAAAAAUAAAGCUUGAUAAUGCCACAGAAAGUGACUGAUGCUGAGGGUAUUGCAGGUAGAACAGCAGGGAAGUUUCUUUGGAGAUGUUACCAUUGAAUGAAUGUUACCUGAAUGAUGCUGCGGGUGGAGGACGUGGGUGGAGGUGCAGAGGCCAGAGGCGGAUCUUGCAAAGCCCUCCUAAGGUAGAAAAGAGCUUGGAUUAUUUACAAAACAGAGCGGAGUGGAGCGUAUAAACGCAGGGGAAGCAGGGGAAGGAAAGCAGGGGUUUAGGCAGGGGCUAGAUCACGGCGGCCAUUGACAAAGCGUUUCUUCUAAAUGUAAGGAGAAACCAGUGGAGAAGGGCAGGUUAUUAAAGCAAGGAGUGAUACGAUCUAAUUUGAUUGUUUUUUUUCCUGAAUUCUGUGGCUGUAGCGUAGAGAGAACACUGUGGGGUGAGGCACAGGGGCAAGGAUUGAAGCAAGAUGACCCCACAGAGAUCCCGACCAUAUUUAAAAUGGCAGGGAUAAAAAUGGAGCCAUGGGGUUGGAUCAGGCAGAUUAAGGAGGGAGAAGUCUUGGCUGUGGAUUUGGGAGGUGAAGGAAAGAGAAAAAUGAAGUCUGUGUUUGGCAGUGAGCCACAGAAUGAAUGGUCAUGCUGAAACUGACAGCCCUAAUGUCCUGAACCCAGCCAGAACCCACAUUGGGACUUGAACCCAAAUGCUGGGACUCCAACCCCGCCAAAACCCAGGUUGGGAUUUAAGCCACAAUUUUCAAUUAGAAUCACUCACCCUGUGUCUGGACUCACUGAGGUUCAGGUUCUUCAUGCCUCUAUGCAGAAGGAAUUCAGUGAGAGACAAUUGAGAGGCAAGAAAUAGAUUUAUUAAGAUAGGAUGCUUGUGAGAGAUGCAAGCGGGCAGGCAGGGAGGCUCUGCCCCGAGGAUGGGUGGGCUACAGUUUUAUCAUCCAGGGGGAGCGGGGGUGGGAAAAGCCUGCCUCUUCUUCUCUGGGAGUAGUGGCUCCUCCUUGGUAUCUGGUAUUCAAAUCAGUGGAACAGUGGUCCUUAAACUCCUGCUUUGGGUCUGGACCUGAACGCAGGCCUCAUCCCAUCGCCGACCCAAUGACCUGAGGCCAGUCUCACACCUCCACUAGUCUAGCAAGCCUGCCUUGUUCUGAUGGCUUUCUUGAGCAAUUAUUAACUUACAGUGCUCUCUCAACGUCCCUCUCUAUCUGUGGUCCCUUUUAUUGGGACUUCUCCGACUACCUGUGCCUACUCCAUCCCAAACAAUGCCUCUUGUUGAGGUAGAGAAGAGCCUACAGGAGCCCAUCAGGGAGACUUCUGAGGUUCAGGUCACCACCCAGAUAGUUGAACAAGUCCCAGUCUGGGUUUUGUCUGGAUUUGAGUCCCAGAACGUGAGUUCAAGUCCCAGUCUGGGUUCUAUCAGUCAUCCAGGUGGGGUGCACUGAGGAGUUCAGAGGAAGCAUCACGGUUAAAGGUGCACCUGUAGGAGAUUAUUUAAAACGCAGGUGAGGUUUUCUAGGAGAGACUGGAGAGAGAGUGAGGAAGACGUGUAGGGGAAGAGGAGAAGGAGCCAACACAAAAUGUUCAGGAUGCUGGUGUUGCUAUGAGAAAAUGGUAAGCUCCGCAGAUCAAUGAAGAGGAGAAAACCAAACAAAGGGUUAAAAACAUCGAGACUGCAGGGUGGUGGACCCCCUGGGGGUUGAGAGUCCAGUAGAGAGAGAGUGUUUUCCUGGGAACAGUAUUGAUGUUGAUCAAAGGAGCAGCUGCCUUUCAUUUUACAGACACUGAAACACAGAAAGGUUAAGUGUCUUGACCAAGGUGACAGAGCUACGAAGUGACAGAGCUGGGAUUUGAACUCAAAGAUCUUGGCUCCACCAUCUGGAUGCUUAACCACCCUAUGACACGGCCUCUAAAUGGGAUCCUAAAAAGAGUUUAAAAUAAAUGAAGGGGGGGGAAAGAAUCUUUUGUAUCCAAGGAGCAGCAGCGGGAUGGGUGCUGAAGGACGGGCUUGGUGACAAGACAUUUUGGUCAGCUUCACCUCUGGAGUGACAGUGCCAUUUUGAAAGAGGCCAGAAACGGUCAUAAUGAAAAUAAAUGUUGUUCAGAAUGGGGGGAGUAAGCAGAGUUUAUUUUCUCCCUUUCCUUUUUCAGGUAGUUCUGAGCAAUAAAGGCCCCCGACCACUAUUCAUAUCUGAUUAAACAAAAGUAAGAAAAAAAAAAAGGCAGAGAAAAGACCUCAGGAGCAGGUGGCAAGCUUAAUCUUUGGUAUUUAGAAUGAUGAAGAGAAGCAAUAUGUGAAAUCCACUUAAAAUAUGAUUUCAUGUUCUAAUAUACAUUUUGAAUUUAUGGGGAACUGACUUCUGCCAUUUAUUCAGAGAGCAAAAAAAAAAAAAA
Molecule: long non-coding RNA, 8103 nt
Filed under: Sus scrofa (pig)
Lineage: Eukaryota; Metazoa; Chordata; Mammalia; Artiodactyla; Suidae
Description: lncRNA (ENSSSCG00055018515.1)
Source: RNAcentral